Molecule: ribosomal RNA, 539 nt
Filed under: uncultured bacterium
Lineage: Bacteria
Description: bacterial SSU rRNA
Rfam family: Bacterial small subunit ribosomal RNA
Source: RNAcentral
GCGGACGGGUGAGUAAUGCUUGGGAAUCUAGCUUAUGGAGGGGGAUAACUACGGGAAACUGUAGCUAAUACCGCGUAAUAUCGAGAGAUUAAAGUGUGGGACCUUCGGGCCACAUGCCAUAAGAUGAGCCCAAGUGGGAUUAGGUAGUUGGUGAGGUAAAGGCUCACCAAGCCGACGAUCUCUAGCUGGUCUGAGAGGAUGACCAGCCACACUGGGACUGAGACACGGCCCAGACUCCUACGGGAGGCAGCAGUGGGGAAUAUUGCGCAAUGGGGGCAACCCUGACGCAGCCAUGCCGCGUGAAUGAAGAAGGCCUUCGGGUUGUAAAGUUCUUUCGGUAGUGAGGAAGGCAUUUAGUUUAAUAGACUAGGUGAUUGACGUUAACUACAGAAGAAGCACCGGCUAACUCCGUGCCAGCAGCCGCGGUAAUACGGAGGGUGCGAGCGUUAAUCGGAAUAACUGGGCGUAAAGGGCACGCAGGCGGUGACUUAAGUGAGGUGUGAAAGCCCCGGGCUUAACCUGGGAAUUGCAUUUCAUAC